AACGAACGCUGGCGGCAGGCUUAACACAUGCAAGUCGAACGCCCCGCAAGGGGAGUGGCAGACGGGUGAGUAACACGUGGGAACAUGCCCAAAGGUACGGAAUAUUCUCGGGAAACUGGGAGCAAUACCGUAUGUGCCCGAAAGGGGAAAGAUUUAUCGCCUUUGGAUUGGCCCGCGUUGGAUUAGCUAGUUGGUGGGGUAAUGGCCUACCAAGGCGACGAUCCGUAGCUGGUCUGAGAGGACGACCAGCCACACUGGGACUGAGACACGGCCCAGACUCCUACGGGAGGCAGCAGUGGGGAAUAUUGGACAAUGGGGGCGAACCCUGAUCCAGCCAUGCCGCGUGAGUGAAGAAGGCCUCG
RNAcentral lists this ribosomal RNA (362 nucleotides) under uncultured bacterium. RNAcentral's name for it is "bacterial SSU rRNA". It matches the Rfam family "Bacterial small subunit ribosomal RNA", at positions 29 to 419 of the family's 1533-position model. The record is from RNAcentral.